GCUUAGUCUUAGUCUUAGUCUUAGGCUUAGGCUUAGCCUUAGCCUUAGUUUUAGGCCCGGGUUCAGGCUUAGCCUUAGGCUUAGGCUUUGGCUUAGUCUUAGGCUUAGUCUUAGGAUUAGUCUUAGGCUUAGGCUUAGGCAUAGG
Non-coding RNA from Caenorhabditis elegans, 145 nucleotides. NCBI's taxonomy places the organism in Eukaryota, Metazoa, Nematoda, Chromadorea, Rhabditida, Rhabditidae. The record is from Ensembl.